This 774-nucleotide ribosomal RNA is filed under the name uncultured Neocallimastigales. RNAcentral describes it as "partial large subunit ribosomal RNA". It matches the Rfam family "Eukaryotic large subunit ribosomal RNA", at positions 20 to 616 of the family's 3401-position model. Lineage: Eukaryota; Fungi; Neocallimastigomycota; Neocallimastigomycetes; Neocallimastigales. The record is from RNAcentral.
UACUAGAGUAGCACUCGCAUAUCAAUAAGCGGAGGAAAAGAAACUAACAAGGAUUCCCCUAGUAACGGCGAGUGAAGCGGGAAGAGCUCAAAUUUGAAAUCUUAAAGGGUUUCCCUUUACGAAUUGUAGUUUAAAGAAGUGUUUUCUGUUGAGGUUUUGGUAAAAGUUCUUUGGAAUAGGACAUCAUAGAGGGUGAGAAUCCCGUAUUUGACCUUUACUUUCAACUUUGUGAUACACUUUCAAAGAGUCGGAUUGUUUGGGAAUGCAGUCCAAAAUGGGUGGUAAAUUUCAUCUAAAGCUAAAUAUUGGCGAGAGACCGAUAGCGAACAAGUACCGUGAGGGAAAGAUGAAAAGAACUUUGAAAAGAGAGUUAAACAGUACGUGAAAUUGUCAAAAGGGAAGCGUUUGACACCAGUGUUGUUUUUCUGAAAAUCAAUUAAAGAACUGUUUAUGCUAAGCUGUUUAGACUUUAUCAGCUAUCUGUUUAGUUUUAGGCUUUUCUUUAAUGCACUUUUCAGUUAACAAGUCAACAUCAAUUUCUUUUGCUGUAAAAAAGCUUGAGGAAGGUGGCUUGAGAUUCGUCUUAAGUGUUUAUAGCCUCUUGCCUAUGCAGUCGGAGAGAUUGAGGUCUGCAGCGUAGAUCCUUCGGGGCUAAAUGCAUUUGUGCUAAGUUAUAGCAUUUUAUAGACAACUUGUUGACUAUGAUUUGUCUUGUAGCUUACUCGCUUAUGUUAUUUUACCUACGCUUAGGAUGUUGAGCGCAUGUCUCUCUCU